AUUAUGAAGCCAGAAUUGAAGAUACUUG
This 28-nucleotide non-coding RNA is filed under the name Cricetulus griseus (Chinese hamster). Lineage: Eukaryota; Metazoa; Chordata; Mammalia; Rodentia; Cricetidae. The record is from RNAcentral.